AGGUUCCACCCCUUCCCAUUCCGAACAGGGCAGUUAAGCUCCGCCACGCCGAUGGUACUGCGCAAGCGGGAGAGUAGGUCGCCGCCGUUU
This 90-nucleotide ribosomal RNA is filed under the name Candidatus Phocaeicola gallinarum. Lineage: Bacteria; Pseudomonadati; Bacteroidota; Bacteroidia; Bacteroidales; Bacteroidaceae. The record is from RNAcentral.